RNAcentral lists this long non-coding RNA (264 nucleotides) under Lathyrus oleraceus (garden pea). RNAcentral describes it as "Pisum sativum (pea) long non-coding RNA (PSAT_LNC006617)". Lineage: Eukaryota; Viridiplantae; Streptophyta; Magnoliopsida; Fabales; Fabaceae. The record is from RNAcentral.
UAAUCAUUUAUGAAUUUUGGAAGUGAAAGAAAAAAUAAAAAAAAGCAUGAAAAAGCAUGUAUGAACAUAUGGAGGGAAAUCAAAUAAAAUGGCAUGGCAUUUGAAAAUGUGUUGGAAGCCGGACUCGAACAGAUGCAAUAUUUGAAUGAGGCGCGUUUGCUGAGUGAAACUCAGCGUUUCGUUAAUGACGUGGCCUGUUCAAAAGCGCUAGGGCCAAUCAUUUUGCCAUGCAUCCAACUACGUGGACCAGUACAUGCACGGUAU